CCUGAACGCUGGCGGCGUGGCUAAGACAUGCAAGUCGCACGGAGGUAGCAAUACCUUAGUGGCGAACGGGUGAGUAAUGAAUCGCUAAUGUGCCCCGGACUCUGGGAUAGCUGCCCGAAAGGGCAGGUAAUACCAGAUGAUAUAACCGAACCGCAUGGUUUGGUUCUCAAAGGUCCGCCGGUCUGGGAGCAGGCGAUUUCGUAUCAGCUAGUUGGUGAGGUAACGGCUCACCAAGGCGACGACGCGUAGCCGGACUGAGAGUGU
RNAcentral lists this ribosomal RNA (264 nucleotides) under uncultured bacterium. RNAcentral describes it as "partial 16S ribosomal RNA". It matches the Rfam family "Bacterial small subunit ribosomal RNA", at positions 30 to 301 of the family's 1533-position model. The record is from RNAcentral.